This is a long non-coding RNA of Corvus hawaiiensis (hawaiian crow), 1434 nucleotides long. RefSeq lists it as uncharacterized. Lineage: Eukaryota; Metazoa; Chordata; Aves; Passeriformes; Corvidae. The transcript has 4 exons. The record is from RefSeq and is a predicted model, not a curated record.
GAGCAUUCCUGUCACAGACCUUCAAUCAACAUCUCCUUAUGAAUCCAUCGUUGUGUCUUCAAAUGAACAGAGGAAGAAAGAUAAACACAUCAGCUGAAGAUGGACAACUGUUCCAGGAUAUGCUGUAAUCUUACUGCCCCAGGGUUCGAACAAAACAGAUGUUCAUUUCCAUGGCAUCUGGACAGCUGGCAGAAAAAGGCAGCAAUCAGUAGAACUCACUAAAUCCUGUGAGGUAAAAGAUGAUCUCUCUGGGAACAACUGAAGUGGAGAACAACAUGCAGCUCACAUCUCUUCAUUCUUUACUGGAGAUUAGUAUUGUGGUAAUUGUGCUGUUCCCAUUGGAAGCAUAAAGGAGUUAUAAAGCUGUAACUGCUUGCUCUUUUCCUUCAAACUUGGUUUCACAAGGUUGAACACAAUCCAAAUGGGAUGCCUUAUAAAGCAUUCUAGUGCUUUUUUUGCACCUCUUCAUGCCUCCAAUGCAGACUUCUUGGGAUGUAAGGAUUUUUUUUUUUUUUUUUUGAGGUCUCUUCUCCUGUUUUGUUUAUGUUUGCAAGUGUCAACUGAACAUGAAGUACACCAAUUCAUUCAAAACCAAACUCUAUUACAUCUAUAAUUCCAAGAGAGCAAACAAGGUCAGUAUCCUCCCUGUCUGGUCUCUGGGAUGCUCCUGCAAACAUACUGGUUGGUAUCUUAGGAAUACUUGGCUCACAAUGUGCUCACCAAAGCUCUCACUGAUGGCGUGGCAGGAAAUGACACAUCCUUCCUGGUCUUGUAAAUCCUACUUCAAUAAGCAGAGCUCAAAUUGCUGUUUUCAUAUGACACAUCUGGGCUCUCCUAAAUGUUCAUGACAGCAAGGUUCUAAUCCAUUGUCUCCUUGUAUGGCAGUACCAGCCUGCUACUCAGGAUGACUGUCAUCUCCACCAUCCAAAGCACCACAUUGCACUCUCACUAUGGCAACGCUGGUCAUGGGAUUUAUAGCAGAUGCUGACUGAUGUAAUGAGCAAGCCCACAACACCUGUAGCCUGUGUCAUUCACAUCUACUGACACUGCUGCGGCAUCCAGCUUGGCAGGACAGUGCCAUCUCUCCCAGUGGGCUCCAACCCCAGAACUGCAGUCUGGUUAGAAAAGUGUGUGUUGUAAGAUAUAGGGCAAGGAAGGCAAGAGAUCAUGGCUGAGUUGAGACCUGCUGGUCAAAUUAAAGGGCAGGAAGGAAAUUCACAGGCAGUGGAAGAAGGGACAUAUAUCCUGGGAAGAGUAUACGGAUGUUGUCUGAUUGUGUAGGGUUGGGGUCAGGAAGGCCAAGGUGCUGGAGCUGAACUUGGCAAGGGAUGCAAAGAAUAACAAACAUUUCUAGCCAGGAAAGGAAGAGGAUGCAGGGGUUGAGAGGAGCCCUGAAGAGAAGGACUUGGGAGUGCUGGUGGGUUAGAGGCUGGA